CUCCUUCAUCCCCAGCAGCUUACAAUCCUUCCUGACUGGAAGAGAGGCUUGCUCCCCUUCCACUCAUUCUGCUUAAAAAAAAAAAAAAAAAAUUAAAGAAAAAAUUUGGUAUUUUCACAAUACAAAAGAACAAAGUCAUCAAGAACAGUCAUCAUUCACUAUGUCAAGUAAUUAGCUACAGAAAAUAGAAGGGAAAUUCUGAGGAGGACAUACAGUAUAAUAAUACAAUUUGAAAAUCCACAAAGUUACUUUUCAGAAUGUGUCAACAGACUGAGAGAAAGUGCUGAAGAACAGAAGAGGCAUUGAGAAUACUUCUCAGGUGAAGAUUCAUUAUGACCUUUAACAUAUUUUCAAAUCUUUGAGAAAUAAUGAGUUCCUUGAAAGUUGCCUUAUCUGGGGCACUUUCCAGUUCCCUGGAACUGUGCAAAGGAUCACAACAUAGAAGCUUCUAUGCAUUCAAAUAUACCCUAGCACUGGGUAUGUGAUAUUACUAGCAUCCUAUCCCUAGGGGCCAAUGAACACAUAAAGCUUCCCCCAUUGUGCCAGAUAUUGUGUCAGAUAGUCUGUGACUACAGACUAUCAUGAAUAAAUAACAGACCCUUCUGCAUCUGCUCAGCAGGUAAUCCAGUUGUCUGGAAUUAUCAUAGCAUCUGUGCAGCUUACUCCUGCUUGAAGUGUGUGGAAUGCUGACCACAGCCAGGCUACAGCAGGAGGAUCCUUUGGAACAAAGAUUCUCAGUGUUGGGUCCCCAGAUGUUAUUGGACUUCAACUCCCAUAAUCCCCAACCAAAGGCUGCUGGAGCUGGGGAUUAUGGGAGAUGAAGUCCAAAAAUACCUGGGGACCGAACACUGAGAACCCCUGCUUUGGAAGAGCUGUUGUGGAUGCUGGAGGAAUCUCAUGCUGAAUGAGAGGAAUGGAGUUUUACCAAGCUAAAACACAGGGAUUGUGUAGGAGCAGGAACAUUGGCUGCACAGGCAUACUGGUUGAAGGACUCAGGAGGCCCCCAUACCACUGAUCUUCCCAGGUUCAUCCUGCUUCUUGGGAUAUAGCCUUAUGAACUGUGUACCCCUGGAGUGGGUUGCAGAACUCUCCGCCCAGGCUAGCAUGGCACAGCUACAUACCUUCAGUUCUUCACUUGUUCAUAAAUGGGCUAGAAUGGAAGCAAUCUAUUCUGUUUCAAGAGCUCAAAGUUUAAGUGCAAGGAAGUACUGAAGUUACUGGUGUUGCAUACACAAGGGACUGAAAAGAGAGAAGUGAUGUACACAAUAAGAAGAAAAACACAAGAGAAAAAUAAAAGCUAUAAGGACAAGUAUGCUGCAGAGUGGACUGAUUGUGUUCAGAAGAAUUCUGUUGCAGACAUGCUGUCCAUUAAUAAAUUAGUCAUAUCCUGUUCAUAUAGUAGAACUAGAUACUCAUUUCCAUUAUCAUUAUCUACUGUAUAUUCUAUAUGGUGUCAUAAAUGUUCAGUAUCCUGUGUUAGAGAUCAGAGAGAGAUGGCAUUCUCUAAUUAGAUUACAAAGAUUAUGUUUGUACAGAGACAUAAGGUUUUUGAAACAGAUCUUUAUAGUUCUUAAUAGUUUAAUUUUAUGAAAAGGUUAAGGCUUAGAAGUUGGCACCACUCAGUAGGAUUUACUUCUUAGUAAACAUAUAUAGGAUUAUACUACAAGGAUUGUUACUCACAGACAGAAAAGAAAGAAAACCAGAAAGUAAAUAAGGCAGUUUGUGAAGUGGGCAUGGAAUAAUUAAAAUACCAUGACAAAUUCAUGUGCUGGCUUGUGAAGAACCCAUGUCAGUAUAAUGGAGAAAAUACAAAAAAGAAGUGGACCAUGGAAGACAAGCAGGAACAUAGAAGGCCGAAGGAGCCCUCUCUCUCACAUUAUCCAAGUACAUUUUUCAUUGUCUUGUUUCCUUCUAAAUGUCUUAUGCAGCUCCAUGUGUUAACAUUCUCCAUUUUAACUCAAAAUGCAAUGUAGCAUGAUCCAUAAAGAACCUCAGACUCUGGGACAGUGUGUGUCAUCCAAUGUGGCUCACAGGGAAAGAGUUCUCAGCAAUAGGACAAAGUGAAUGCCUUAAUUUGUUUAUAUAUGUAUUAUUAUUAUUAUUAUUAUAUUUCUAUGCCUCUUUACAUCCAAAGCCCUCAAAUUGGCUUAGUUAGAAAUAUAUAAAAUACAAAAUCCACCACAAUAACUACCAUGGAUCAUAUGUAUAUGGAACUUAAAGUUUAACCACCAUAGAUCAGCAAUUUUCUAAGUAUGCAUUGCGACCCAAUACUGGGUUGUGGGAUAUUAGGUAUUGGGUCCUUUACUGAUUAAAAAUGUUAAUGUUACUUUCUAAAUGUUGUGGAUGAUAUUUUAAGAGAUUGAAAAUGAUCUUAAAAUCAUUUUAAAAUCUUAAAAUAUCAUCCACAACAUUUUAAAAGUAACAUUACAGUCAUUCAGAUAUAGCACUUGCAGCUUGUUUCCAGUAAGAUUGCCGAAAUUAACCUUAUGCGCUACGUGCACAAUGUAGCAGUUCUGAAUACAACCAAUCAACUAGAUGUUAUUUCCUGAAGAUAUUUCCUGUUAUUUCAUUAUCUGCUGUGAUGCUUUUAACAACUUUUUUGCAGAUACAAUCUCUCACAUUCAAGCCGACUUGGAUCCCAUGGUUAUGGCAGGGUCAACUGCAGAGGUGUCCAGUAUCUCCUCUGGUUCAAUUAGAACGGAUCAGUUUCAAUUUGUGACUUCUGAGGAUGUGGACAAACUCCUUGGAGGUAUUCGGCCUACCCCUUGUCCUUUGGAUCCAUGCCCAAAGUGGCUUACAACAUCUAGUAGAGAGGUUGUUAGAGAUGGCCUAGCUGACAUCAUAAAUGCCUGAAUGAGGGAGGGCAGGAUGCCUCCAUGUUUGAAGGAGGCAAUUGUGAUACCUAUGCUUAAGAAGCCUGCCCUAGAGCCCUCAGUGAUGGAGUGUUUCUGCACCCAGGCCUCACUCUGAUUUCUCAGGUUGAAGCUAUGGCCAGGAGCACUUUCCAUCAACUUCAGUUGAUACGACUGCUGUGUCCAUGUCAACUGUCAGAAUUGUGAUGCACUCUCUGGUAACCUUUAGGCUUGCCUACUGCAAUGCACUCUAUGUGGGGCUGCCUUUGCAUGUAGUUUGGAAACUUGGUUGGUUCAAAAUGCAGUGGCUAGACUGGUCUCCAGGGUGUCUCAGAAAGACCAUAUUACGUCUGUUUUAAAGCAAUUGCAUUGGCUGCCAAUAGGUUUCCAGGCAAAAUACAAAGUGCUGGUAAUUACCUUUAAAGCCCUAAACAGUUACCUGGGACAGCACUUCCUUCUGCAUAAUCCCCACCACACAUUAAGAUCAUCGGGAGAGGUCCAUCUACAUAUACCUGGUGGUGACUCUGGAGCAGGCCUUCUCUGUAGUUGCUCCUAGGCUGUGGAAUGCGCACCCUAUAGACAUUCGUGGUUUAACAUCUUUACCAGCCUUCAAAAGAGCCCUCAAGACACAUUUGUUUUAGCCAGACUUUUAGUAAUUUAUGAGUUUUAAAUUUUUAAUUUCUGUUUACAUUUUUAAUUGCUGUAAUUUCUGAAUAUUUUAAAAAAAUUAAUUGCUGUUUAAAUUUUUUUAAUUGUAAUUUCUGAAUGUGUUUAAUUUUUUAAUUCUUGUUUUAAUAACUGGUCAUGUUUGUCUUUUGUUUUUGAGAACUGCCCUGGAGCCUCUGGAGUCAAGCAGUAUAUAAGAUGAAUGAAUGAAUGAAUGAAUGAAGCAACAGUUGAAAGGAAAAAUCCCCUGCUAACUGGGCAAAGAGGCACCUUUUACUGUGGUGAUUCUCUUUAUUUAGCAGGGGGAGAGUAACUGGCCCUAUCCACCCCCAGAACAGUACCUCCAGUGACUGUUGCUAGUGUCUAUCUCGUGUGUUUUUUUAGAAUGUGAGCCCUUUGGGGACAGGGAGCCAUCUUAUUUAUUUAUUAUUUCUCUGUGUAAACCGCCCUGAGCCAUUUUUGGAAGGGCGGUAUAGAAAUUGAAUUUUUUUUAUUAUUUUUUAUUAUUUCUUGUUUACACAGUCAGACAGGUGUUAUUGACUGGUUUGUUUUAUCCAGACGUCGAGUCCUUCCCAAGGACCUGGGAUGGCUGAAUUUUAUCAUCAAUACUGUUGGUUUCAUCAGUACUGUUGGUUUCAUCAAUACUGUUGGUUUCAUCAAUACUGUUGUUGUUGUUAUUAUUAUUAUUAUUAAAAUGUUAGUCAACAUCUUGCUUAAUAAAGAUAUCAGCAUC
Molecule: long non-coding RNA, 4251 nt
Organism: Hemicordylus capensis (graceful crag lizard)
Lineage: Eukaryota; Metazoa; Chordata; Lepidosauria; Squamata; Cordylidae
Exons: 3
Source: RefSeq, a predicted model, not a curated record